GUCUUCUUCCUCUCUGCCUCAGUCUCUUCCUCUGUCUCUUUUCAGGGCUCACAAUUCUUCUCCCCAGGCCGUGGUUUCUUGUUUGCAACCUGGAUACAACUUUUUCCAGAUUUUCCUCUCCAUAAAUGCAAAUAUUCAGAUGGAGAAACUUGUUUCUACUCGAGAAUUCAUUGAUUUCAUCAACUUCUACAGCAACCCGCUUCGCUUGGUUCCAUUCUACUCCAACUUCAUUCGAGAAGUGGAAGAACAAAUGGACCUUCGAUGUAAAAAGCAGUCAACAACCAUCAAAGAAUUACAUCAGAUACGCAACACGUCAAAAGCGUGCUGAUACAAAGAAAGCCCUGAAAAACCUCCUCUUCAACAGUGGGUCCUCUAAAAAUUUCUUUCAGAACAUUCAGAAUGAAAAUGAUUCAGGAAGCUCUCCUCAGAAACAUAGGUCGAGAUCUUCUCGACAUGCUGAGAAAUCACACCCCAAGAAAACGAAACGCAAGUUCAAAAGAGAGAGUUUCUCCGAAGAUGGUGACAACAAUCCUGAGUCUAUCUUUCGUGCGACAUUUGGCAAGAAAUGGUACACCUGGUCUUUUGACUCAUGCCGUUACUCCUCUUUUAAACAUUCAGAAUCUGGAUUUGAGUGGUCAGAGCAAUCAAGCUGGAAAGAUAAAAGUAAAAGAUGGGAGAAUAGUAGUGACGUGGAGUCUGAUGAUGAAUCAUGUACUAUAGGAUCUUAUUCUGAUAGAACAAUUCUUGGUCUGCCUCCAACAGGUCCUUUAAAGACUGAAGAUGUUAAAAAAGCUAUUAUUUAAACAUAUGACUCCUUCUGGCAGUUUCCAUUUAUCAGCUUUAAAAUGGCAUCCUGACAAGCAUGAAGGCCCUUCACAGGCAAUGGCUGCAGAGAAAUUUAAACUUUGUGUUAAUGCUUACAAAUCUCUGUGCAAUGCACUAUCCCCAGCGUAAGCCGUUGGCUCAAAAGGUUCUGGUUUGAACAUUAACAGCUCCCUCUAUACCGGUUCUCUAUUCAAAAGGAAAUCCUCAUACAGAUUUGACCUAGUGCUGGACAUGGUAUCCAGAUCAAAGCGUUAGUGUACUUGAAUAGUAAUUUGAUUAAUUUAUUCAAAUUAUAUAUGCAUAAAGAUUGUACUGAAUCUUUUGACAAAUUUAUAAAGAAAAUUACAAUUCUUUUAGAGAUA
Prunus persica (peach) is the source of this 1187-nucleotide RNA transcript. RefSeq lists it as uncharacterized. The record is from RefSeq and is a predicted model, not a curated record. The transcript has 7 exons. NCBI's taxonomy places the organism in Eukaryota, Viridiplantae, Streptophyta, Magnoliopsida, Rosales, Rosaceae.